UAUUGAGCUCUGCCUGCCGCUGGGCCGCU
This 29-nucleotide non-coding RNA is filed under the name Bombyx mori (domestic silkworm). Lineage: Eukaryota; Metazoa; Arthropoda; Insecta; Lepidoptera; Bombycidae. The record is from RNAcentral.